UCGACGGUAACAUCGUUCUAGAAGGUAGACGUUAAACACGAGUUUGCUAAGUGAUAAUUUUUUCCCUCGGAAGUGGUGUGGUCAACUCUUCUUCAAUUUAGCGUAGUGUAAUGUGUUCUGCUAUGAAUUUUUCAUAAAAAACAGGUUAUAGUGCGACUGUAAUUGAGUUGUCGCUUGAGAUUUCCAUGGAUUGUUGUCGUUUCAUUCGUCAAGUUAUAAUAAACUCCUGGCUUCUGCAAGUUAGGUUUUGGUGCGAGUUUUAACUUUUAGAGUUCCUGUUCUACCGGCAAAAACUUCACACAAGUUAUAGCUGCUCUCUUUACCAAGAGGGUCUUGUCGCAGGUGAGGUGCGAGCGAAGUGGCUGGUGGUACCUACCGGUGGGCAGUGACUGACUGGACGUCUCGAGAGCUUGGCUGUCAUGAACUCAUUUCUGCAUUGCACAGAAGUAUCGGUAUUGCACUGAAGUAUCGGUAGUUACGACGUCAAUGGACAGUCUUCGAUGUAGUGCGGUUAUGUCUUGACCACGUAAUGGUUUUAGGGAGACGUUGUCGCAAGGUUACAAGAAGAGCUGGGCUUAUGGACUUUUCACGGAGCACCAAUAGCGUUUUACUCUUAUAACCGAGGAGGACAAUUUGAGACUAGAGGGAGGUCUUUUGGUUACCUACGAGGAUUUCUGCACGUGUACUACUGUAUGUUGUAACUGACCCCGCCAAGGCUGGUGUACUACCAGUCGCUAAUGUUUGGAGAGCUCUGUUGGAGAUAGAUGGCCAUUUUUCGUAAUGUGAGAGAUAACUGCAAGCUGCAUUUGAAGAUUUUUUGAUCUACCUUUAGUUAGGCGUACUUUUAAAGACUAAACGAUUUCUCGGCAACAUACGUUUCGGCAUGGUUUGGAUUUUACCGAGAAUCCAGGACUUUUUAUUGUUGCUUGAAUGAUUUAACAUUUUAAGUAUUAAUGUGCUCACUAACAUCAAUAUAUGUUAAUAUAUUCAUUAAUAUUUA
This is a long non-coding RNA of Macrobrachium nipponense, 1000 nucleotides long. RefSeq lists it as uncharacterized. Lineage: Eukaryota; Metazoa; Arthropoda; Malacostraca; Decapoda; Palaemonidae. The transcript has 3 exons. The record is from RefSeq and is a predicted model, not a curated record.